RNAcentral lists this ribosomal RNA (250 nucleotides) under uncultured Glomeromycetes. Its description in RNAcentral is "partial small subunit ribosomal RNA". It matches the Rfam family "Eukaryotic small subunit ribosomal RNA", at positions 587 to 841 of the family's 1831-position model. The record is from RNAcentral. Lineage: Eukaryota; Fungi; Glomeromycota; Glomeromycetes.
AGCUCCAAUAGCGUAUAUUAAAGUUGUUGCAGUUAAAAAGCUCGUAGUUGAAUUUCGGGAUUCUACCGUUGGUCAGGCUAACAAGUCUGUACUAGUGAGUAGAAUUCCUACCUUCUGGGGAACUAUCAUGUUAUUUAUUUGGCGUGGUGGGAAACCAGGACCUUUACCUUGAAAAAAUUAGAGUGUUCAAAGCAGGCUUACGUCUGAAUACAUUAGCAUGGAAUAAUAAAAUAGGACGGUGGUCCUGUUU